ACACAUGUAGUAAGGUCAACAUAGAGGUACAAUCAACGUACUUAUGAAUAAGUCAACAGGUUUCUAAAGGCAACACCGAUAGUCCGUUCUAGCUGGCAGCCUGGCAUAGUGCUUGUCCAUUUUGGCUAGCACAGUGCUGGUCUAUUUUGGCUCAGCAACAUCUCUCAAAAAAGCUAUAUUUUCAUACAUUGCGAUACUUUUAGAAAUAUGUUGCGGUGUAUACAACUAUGUUGCUUUUCAAUAUAUGUUGAAGUUAAUACACAUGUGUUGAUCUCUAAGAAAAUGUAGCGUUUUGAAGAAAUAUUUCAGUAGACAAAAGAAUGUUGCUUUUAGGUAUACACAAAUAUGUUCCUUUAGAAUGUCACUUUUAUUCACAUGUGUUGCGGUAGCCACAAAUAUAUUGCUUUAGAAUGUCGCUUUUAUUUACAUGUUGCGGUAUACACUAAUAUGUUGCUUGCUUUUAGAUAACACGUGUUGAUAUCGACGAAAAUGUAGCUUUUCGAAGAAAUAUUACAUUAUAUAUAUGUGUUUCACUAGACAAACGAAUGUUCCUUUUAGUUAAAUGUUGCGGUAUACACAAAUAUGUUCCUUUUAGUUAUAUGUUAAUAUGUUGAUUCCAUAUAUAGGUUGCUUUUCACUAUAUGUUGCAGUUAAUAUACAUAUGUUGAUCUAACGAAUGUUGCCUUUAGAUAUAUGUUGCGGUAGCCACAAAUAUGUUCCUUUAGAAUGUCGCUUUUAUUUACAUGUUGCGGUAUACACUAAUAUGUUGCUUUUAGAUAUAUGUUGCGGUAUAUACUAAUACACAUGUGUUGAUCUCUAAGAAAAUGUAGCGUUAUGAAGAAAUGUUCGACGGUUGUGCAUUGGCAAAGAAACAAAUCAUUUUAUUUUCCAUGGAUUAGAUAAAAUGGGGCGGUUUGAGAGAAACUAAGCGAUCGAUGCGGUGUGGGGCGGUUUGCUUGCCAUUGGCCUUGAUUGGCAUCACGCCGCUCCGUCUUCUGUAACCUCCCGCUCAGUUCGUCUUCCAGGCCCCGCACCCACCAGUUCGUCGCACUCCCGCUCCAUAUGGACAGUCCAUCUCGUCGCUCCCGCGCUCCAUGGCCAGAUCAUCCUCCCACUGCCGUCGUUUUGGCUACCCCACCCGUUUUGGCUCCAUGUACGACGGCGGCCCCUCCGGAUCUGGCUCCAUGGACAGUUCAUCUCGCUCCCGCUCCCUGGCCACUUCAUCCCGCUCCCGUUCCCGCCACCCCACCGGUUUAGGCUCCAUGUACGACGACGGCCCCUCCGGCUCCCGUUCCCGCUACACGGACAAGGAAAUGACGAUCUCGGUCAACGAGGAGCACGAAGUCCUGGUUACGGUCACGUCCUCAACAAAGACGGUGGAGGGCUUCUUGAGAGAAGUCCGCGGCGAGGAGCCUAAACCGUUGAUCGUCGGUUUAGACACCGAGCAUGCGGAGUAUGAGGGGAAGAAAAAGAUAGCCCUCAUACAGAUAUGCGUCAACACGAGGUGCCUUCUGUUCCAGGUGGGCAUCACCGGCGGCUGCAUCCCCGACGACCUCAAGAGUUUCUUUGUGCGCGAGAACCACGUUUUCGUCGGCGUCGCAAUCACCAACGACAUGGAUCUACUGAGGCAACACCACAACAUCGAGCUUUCCAAGAAGGUGGAGCUACAGGCCAUGGUGCCCUUCGUGAUCCAAGGCAAGUGGUGCAAUGUGCCAAGCCUCGCGUCCAUCGGGCUAGAGUUGCUGGGCGUGGUCGCUGAAAAGAAUAAUCCCAAACUACGUUAUAAAGACUGGCAUAAGAAGAGUCUGGCGCAUGAACAGAUCAAGUACGACGCCUUCGUGUCAUACAAGGUCUGGGAGAUGCUGCAGAGCCAGCCGUAUAACUUUGAUCUCCACGCCUGCCAGUCUCCUGUUCACGCCGGUGGAGGUCAACAGGUGCAAUUGCUCUUUGUCGAGCACCAGCAAACGAAGAGGAUCAAUGCCUGCCCAGCCUGCAUGCCAGGAACUCAUCAGGGGCUGAUCUAGAACUAGGAAGCAUUGCUAUAAAAUGAUUAUUAAUGCCAUUUUUAUGUACAAAUAUUUUUUUUAUUUGUGUUGCGGCAAAUGUCAUUUGUGUAUCUUGCCCCUGCAGGGUUCAAGAACUGGACGUGGGAUAAUGCCCUACUCCAUGCUGUGAAUGUUGCUUCUUCUUCCUCUUCUAAAAAACAUGGUAGCGAGAGCAAAAGACGCCACAAGCUGUUGCUACACAACCAUGGCUUUCUUGUUGAUGAGACUGAGAGUGAUGACAGCUGAUCCGAUCGAUCCUGGAGAAAUUUGAUCGUUCAACCUCGAUCUAGUAUGGAACUGUAGUAUGUAAGUGUGGUACAUAAAGUUGAAAUCCGUGCUGCUUUUGUAUUUGUGUUCGAUCCCUUAUAUGGUACACACGCGUUGCCAUUAUAUAGUAUGGAACUGCAGUACGUAUUGUCUCAUUCGAAUAUGUUCCUUUUAGUUAUAUGUUAAUAUGUUGAUUCCAUAUAUAGGUUGCUUUUCACUAUAUGUUGCAAUUAAUAUACAUAUGUUGAUCUAACGAAUGUUGCCUUUAGAUAUAUGUUGCGGUAGCCACAAAUAUGUUCCUUUAGAAUGUCGCUUUUAUUUACAUGUUGCGGUAUACACUAAUAUGUUGCUUUUAGAUAUAUGUUGCGGUAUAUACUAAUACACAUGUGUUGAUCUCUAAGAAAAUGUAGCGUUAUGAAGAAAUGUUUUACAGAAAAAAUGUUUCACUAGAUAUAUGUUAUGGUAAUACUAUAUAUAAAUAUGCGGGUAACACCUGAUGUUGCAGCAGAACCUUGUUGGAGACGGUCACCAUGUUUUAAUAUUUUCACAGACUCGUAAAAUGCUAAACCUUAUUCAGGUACAUUGUUUCUACUUUAAUUAUUUUCUGCUUCCUACUACCUUAGCACAUCCUUCAACUUGUGACUUUUAGACUCAUUUCUUGUAAUUUGAUAUAUUGAUGAAAUACAGUUUAGAUCCAUUAAUUGAUUUGGGACAUUUAUCAAUCCGUGGUAGCGGAUAUUUAUUCUUCAGAGUGACAGCAUUCACCGGAUGGUAAUCCACACACAUCCACAAAAUACCCUCUUUCUUCUUUUUCACAAAUAGGGCAGGACAAGCCCAAUCCGAGGUACUAGGGCGAAUCAAACCCUUGCCUAACAAUUCUUGGAUUUGCUUUUUCAACUUUGCUAAUUCAUUGAGAGGCAUUCUGUAUGGUCUUCUAGAGAUAGGAGCAGUACCAGGUACCAAUUCAAUUGCAAAUUCAAUAUCUCUAUCCGGAGGUAGACCAGGUAAUUCAUCAGGAAACACAUCCGGAAACUCACAAACAAUAGGAACAUCCAUUACUGACUUGGCCACAAUAGCAUAUGAGGAACUCUAUAACUCAGUCCGAGAAGGCAAGGAUACUAGAAAAGUACCUGCCUUCGCGGGUUCCAUAAUAGUCACUAGUAUCCUUGGUGUAUCAAGCAUAACACCCACUUGCUCAUCCAUUCCAUUCCAAGUAUCACAUCCACACCCAGACCUUGCAUCACAAUCAUAUUCACAAGGAAAGUUCUACCCUCUAUUUCAAGAACUGACCCUAACACUACUUGAUUUGAAAGUGUAUCAGCUCCAGCCGAGCUAAUACAAUAAGCAUACUUCAUUUCAUUAAUUUUGAACUCAUAUUUACGUGCAUAAGCUUGACUAACAAAAGUAUGAGAUGAUCCAGAAUCAAACAAAACGACUGCAGGGUGUAGGUCAAUUGAAAACUUACCAGUAGUCACGAGUUCGCCCUAAGGAACUUCAUCCAAAGUAGUGUGGUGCACACGAGCAAGGUAGGUGUUGGCCCUCUUCUUCUGAGGUUGCGGGCAAUUUCUAGAGAAAUGUCCAUGCUGGCCACAAUUAUAGCACGGUCCUUUGACCCAACUGACAUUGUUGCUGUUGUUAUUGUUGUUGUUACUGCUUUGACUGCUAGAGCUUGAUUUAGCAACAGACUUGCCAGAGUGACUUGGGACACGAAAAUUCCUCUGAUUCUGAUACGGAUGAUGGCGUUUCUGAGGAGGUGAAAGCCCUAGUUUGGUUUUGGAUAAUUGAUGAAACCCUAGUACUAACCUCUAUGCUAAGUGUGUGUAGACUUAAUGAGGUUGGUACAUGCCAAGUGAUGGAGCAAGUGAUGAUCAUGGUGAUGAUCAAGUGCUCAACUUGGAAAACAAGAAAGAGAAAAACAAAACCCUAUGGAGAUCAAGGCAAAGGUAUUGCUUACGGUUUUGGUUUUGGUGAUCAAGACACCAUAGAGGGUGUGAUCACAUUUAGGAUAGAUAGCCGUACUAUAAAGAGGAGAAUUCUUUGGCUAAGCGGUUAUCGAGUGCCACUAGGUGUUAUUGUUCAUGUGCAUGCAUUUAGAACCUAGUGAGCUAACUUAACCCCUUCGAAGAAAAUGAUUGUGAAAAUGCUAACACACAUGUACAUGUUGGUUCACACUUUGUGGUGUUGGCACACUUUGAGAAGGGAGUUGAAGUUUGAAGGGUAGAGAGAGGAUGGGUAGAGAAAGGGGAAUUCAGCGCUUUUCGAGAAAAUGAAGUGCAUAUUUUCUAUUGCGCCGUUGGGAAAGUUGGACAAGUCAUGGGAGUGUUUCUCGCUAAGAAACACUCACCGGACGCCGGCUCAGAGGCACCGGACGCUGUGUCUGAGCGUCCGGUGUGCAGGCUGCCUGGCUCAUCUAGGGUUAGGCACCGGACGCUAGGCACCGGACGCAAGCUGGAGCGUCCGGUGCUCUGGGUCCGGUGUCCGCGCGUUUUGCAAACCUCUCUGGGUGUGAGUCCGGUGAGCACCGGACGGUCCGGUGCUCAGCUUCCGGUGACCUCGCGCGUUUGCAGACCUCUCUGUGUUUUAGACCGGUGUGCACCGGACGCGUCCGGUGCCAACUUGCUCAUCGUCCGGUGCUUUGCAGGUUACCGUUAGACUUUGACACGCGGCUGACUUUGGAGCACCGGACGCAGGGGUUGAGCGUCUGGUGCCAACUUGAGAGCGUCCAGUGACCCUGUGUUUUGCCCAGUGAAAAGAGCCAACGACUCUAUUUGUUUGCGGGGCUAUAAAUACGUGUUGGCCGGCUUAGGGCUCACACUCUUGGCAUUCUAACAUACUUGACAUCCUUGUGAGCCUAAGCAAACACCUCCCACUCAUCUCCUUCAUAGAUUAUUCAUUUUGGUGAGAUUGGGAGUGAUUCCAAGUGUAUUUGCUUGAGUGAUUGCAUCUAGUGGCACUUGGGGAUCGUUCUAGCUGCGGUUUUCUUGUUACUCUUGGUGGUUGCCGCCACCUAGACGGCUUGGAGCAGCGGAGGAGUAUUGGCACGAGUUGGUGAUUGUUCGUGGCCAUCUCCCGGUGAUUGUGAGGGGUCUUGUACCUUCCCCGGCGGAGAGCCAAAAGGUAACUCUAGUAAAGUGCUCAUGUCAUUGAGCUACCUCACUUGUGGGUAGGUUCUUGUGGUGUCCUAGUGAGGACGAGGUUCGUGCUACACCUCUUAGCCACCGAACCACCAAGUGUUGGUCGACACAACGGGGACGUAGCGUGCCGGCAAGCACGUGAACCUCGGGAGAAAAAUUUUGUGUUUCCAUUGUGAUUGAUUGGAUUUCUCCCGGUGAUUGGACUUCAUAUUAUUGAUUGGUUCAUCCCCUCUACGCGGCGGUAUAAAGUUCAAACCAUCUCUUUUACAUUCCCGCAAACUAGAGUAGCUUACUAACUUGUAUAGAAACUUUAGGUAGCUUUCUAGUGUAAGUAGUGACAUGGCUCUUGUGUGCCUAGUGAUUAUAUCAACUAGAAUUGUUGGAUAGAUCGCUUGCAAUCACCCCAUUAGAGCUAGAGCAAAAAGCUUCGCUUUGUUAUUUACUAACCUCUUGCUCUAGUGAGUUUGUAGAAUUUUUAAAUAGGCUAUUCACCCCCCUCUAGCCAGGACCUUUCAGGAGGUUUGAACCGAGCACCCGCACUUGGAGGACGAAAAUAGGCACGUCCGCCAAACUGCGGCUUCUGAUGGGACUGUCCAGAAGAAAAAUGUUUCUUGUUCUUUUCAGCAGCAGCAGCAGCAGACAAGUUGUUCAUCUCUUGAGUCAGGCAGUCACUGAUGAACUCAUGGAAAGUAGUAGCAUGAUUGAUGUCCAUAAACUGUUUCAUUUCAGGAUUCAGGCCCCGCUUGAAACAAAUAAUCUUCUUAGCAUCAGUGGUGACAUACUCUGGACAAUAGCGAGACAAAUUGUUGAACUAAUGCACGUAUUCUUUGACAGGCUUGUGCCUUGAGAGAGAGACAAAAACUCUUCCACUUUUGUAGUCAAGAGGCUUGGAGGGAUAUAAUUAUUCUUGAAGUCCUCAGUAAACCUCUGCCAAGUGAUUGGCACACCAGCGCCAUAAGAUGCACGCUGGGUCCUCCACCAAGUACCAGCAGGUCCUUGCAGCUGAUGCGCUGCAUAUUCCACCUUCAGCUCUUCUGUCAUUCUCAGGAGAUGAAAUUUUUGUUCUAUGGAGCCAAUCCAUUCUUCAGCAUCCAGCGGUUCCACACAACCCGAGAACACAGGAGGAUUGGUGUGCUGGAAGUCUUUGAAACUGCUAUAUUGGUUGACCUCAUCAUCACGGCGGCGACCACCACCCUGAUCUCUUUCAAACACCUGUCGCAUAAAUGCAGCCAUCUCACACUGUGAUUCUUCAGUAUUGCGUUGACUUCCUAGCAUAGCUGCCAUGAACUGUUCAGCGGUGAGAGGAGGCGGAGGCGGAGGUCGGUGUUCAGCAUCUCCACCACUACCAUUCCCACCAUUGCCAUUGUUCCCAAUAGGAUCAUCAUGACCAGUGGGGCCACUGCUAUACCCACGUCCACUGCGAGUGUUCAUCUGCACAGACCACAUUUAACCCAUUAUCACAUUGCUGUCAUCAAAUGAUUAUAUGAGAUACAUAUAUGUUUAUCAUUGCCACUAACAGAACGAAGGGAUAAUUUCUGAAGAUAACAGAAAACUAUCAUUCUCAUAGGUUGACACAUAGAACAUCUUAAAUAGCGGUGAAAGCAUAGAGUUGUCCACAUCCAAAAUUGCCAGCAUACAUACACUAGACUUUUCAGGCGUACGGAUACCACCAAUGCGCGCGGGGGGCUCAGGGCCCUCCCGGCCCGUCGUGUAUGUCGUGGGCGGCAGCUAGGGCUCCCGUAUGGGCCCAAGUCGCCCCGCUUCCUCCGGCGUAGGGUCUGGCCCGUUUCGGGACCAUGACAGAAACGCAACAGAUGACAAAACCGCACUGUCGCUGUGAAAACCCUUCCUCUCCCCUUGUGUUUAAACAGCGACAGUUGUGUGAAAACCCUUCCUCUCCCCCUUGGCCGCCGUUCCCCUUCGCCGCCGAUCGUUGCCGCCAUGUGCGAGACUCGACUCGUAAGGUUAGCGCCCUUGAUCCCCCCUCCCCCACUCUUUCGCAUUUUCUUCACGGAUUAUUUAGGGUUCGUUAAAAUCGCAUUGUGUUAAAACAGCGACAGUGUGUGAAAUCCCUUCCUCUCCCAUUCGCCGCCGAUCGUUGCUGCCAUAUGAGAGACGCGACUCUUCAGGUUAGCGCCCUUGAUUCCCCUCCCCCCGCUCUGUCACAUUUUCUUCACUAAUUAUUUAGGGUUCGUUAAAACCGCAUUGUGUUAAAACAGCGACAGUUGUGUGAAAUCCCUUCCUCUCCCCUUGGCCGCCGUUCCCCUUCGGGUAUGAUUGUUGCCGAUGGCCCAUACUCGCCGUGAGAGACGCGACUCGCCAGGUUAGCACCCUUGUCCUCCCCUCCCCCCAACCACCAUUUCUUCACUGAUUAUAUAUGGUCAGGCCGUCCUUGGAAAAUUGGAGGCCUUGUAUGAAACUAAAAAAAAUGAGGCAUACUUAGUGAAAAUAAGAUUACUACAAUAAGAUAUAUAAAGGAUGGUACCUACGUCGCAUAGUGAUUGUCUUUACUUGAAUAGCAUCACUCGUUAAGUGUUCUUUGAAAUGAAGUCUUCAGUGAUAUGUUCAUAAUCAAUCUCAUGCACAGGGACGGCAUUUAAAGUUAGUAUAUGUUUUCAUUUGAUACUACUUUGAACUUUCACCAUGUUACUGUAUCCUACAAAUAAAUUCCUGACUAAUUAAUUGCAUCAUAUACAUUGCUUAUUAUUUUGGCAUUUUGGUUUCGUGAUUCGUAUGCCACAAUACAUAAAAGGAAGGAGGCAUGGAACAAAAGGCCAUGUCAAAAAUGCACAACCAAAGUGCACAGGAUGAAGCAGCCAUGGAUGGUGGACAAGAAAUGAGCAGAAGUGAACCAGUUGACAGCAGUCAAAAGGAUGAAGCAGCCAUGGAUGGUGAGCACAAAAUGAGCAAAAGUGAACCAGUUGACAGCAGCCAAAAGGAUGAACCAGUUAACAGCCAAAACAAUGAGCAAGAAGCGAGCGAAAAAGGAAAGAGCAAAAAAAGAAAGCGCCAAAAAGGACCCAGACCCAGCCAGGAAGCACCCAGCCAAGAAGGGAGCAAUAAAAGACCCAUUAAGGUGCAGCCUCGUGGUGAUCCUUCCACUGUCUACACAACAGCGUCAUUACUGCCACCAGCAGCAAGGGUUAUGGUCAAAAACCUGGGUUUGGGCCAUUGUCUCGGAUCGACGCGGGGAAGACUUCCAAGCCGAUAUUUCCCGGGCUUUUUGGUACAAACAGCACAAGUGAUUAACUUGGAAAGCGAAGGCAAUGCAGAAGUCAUUAAAUGGGAGAUUGGUGACAGAACCCUUGUGUUCAAAGAAUCUUAUGUGAAACCAGUCCUGGGAAUUCAUAAAGAAAACGGCAAAUAUCAUGACCUGAAAGAUUUGCGACUGAAAAGCAAAAAAGCUAAGAAGGCAUGCAAGGAGGAAUUUUGUCAAAUGUUCAAUUUAUUAAAGAUCGCUGUGAAUAACUGGUAUGUUGAUGAGGAGGAGCAGAAGGAUAGGGGUAAGAAUAAGGAGGAGGGGGAUAACGAGGAUGAGGAGGAUGGUGAGGAGGAGGAGGAGGACAAUCGGUGAAAAAAGUCAAGAAAGCCAAAAUCAAGACAGGCAAAGAUUCCACUCCCUCUAAUUACGGCUGAGCAUGAAAUGAAAGAAAAAAGAAGACUGUUCACACCAUCCAUCAUCCAGAGUUUGCUGGAAAAUGCAGACUCUCCUUUGUUGAAUGGAAAACUUGAUGCCACCAUGGCAACCAAGUUUUUUCUAAUGGUGCUGCUCGACAGAUUGCUGGUCCCAGGAACAUCAAAGUUUAUAUCCGCAGAAGUGAGGUAUGCUGUACAUGACCUUGAGAAUUUGAAGGAUGUUAAUUGGUGCAAGUUAGUAUUCAAUGGGAUGAAGGAGGGUAUUAAAGACUGUCAGAUUAGAAAAACGAAUAAUAUUAAAGGCUGUAUAGAUGUACCAAUGGUAAGUAUCUUUACUAACCUUUUCUCAUUUUGGGUGGAAAACCAUCUUACUGAAUCAUGCUCCACAGGUUUUUUAUUUGGACCACAUAAAGAGGCAAGAUGGCACUGCAGUGAAUCCCUACCUCUUCCCAAGAAUUCGUCAAUAUGCUUCCCCCGAAUUGAUUAAGGAACUGACCAAACAUACUGGAGAUUCCACUCCAGGGGAGUAUGAAACCCUUGAAGUAAGUAAAGAUCAACUGUCCCUUUUCCUUUAUAUCCCUGUGCCUUUCUCAUAACAUUACAUAACAUAUCCCGUUCCCUUUUAACAUAUCCCUUUCGCUUUUCAGUUACUAAAUUCCAAAGACACUUGCUACGGAAACAUGGACAGCCUCAUAGAGGAUGUUCUGCCACCGGAUAAUGUGGCAGAACCGGUGCCAACAGAUGAAAAUAACAUGGUUGUGUCUCAACAUAAUGUGGAAGAGCCACAUGCGUCUCAACAGAAUGAACAGAGGUAAGGUUAUCUAAAAUUGUUGAGAUAUUUCCAACAAUUUCCUUAACCCCCGCUUCAAUGUUUGCGACAUUAACAACAAUUUUCUUAACCUUCGCUUCCAACAAUUUUCCUAACCUCCGCUUCAACUUUUCAGGAACAAAGAAUCUAUGAAUCUACAAGCUCUGUAUCAAAAAUAUGUUUUAGAUCAAACAAGGGAUGACACAGUAUUAGACAUGUUUGGCCAUAAUGUGACGCAAGGAAUGUUUGUUGAAUGCUUUAAAUAUGAAGGACGCAUGCAUUCCGAAAUAUUAGAUGUACAAUGCAAGAUAUGGGGUGAAAAAAGGAAGGAAAUCGUAAUCCUUUCACAAGCUGCACUUGUAAGUAGUCGUUCAACUUAUUUGAUUUUCUUUUAUCAACGAUUUUUAUUUGAUUUUAUUUUAUGUGUCUAUAAAACUGAGAAUGACAUAAUUAUCCUCCUUUCUCAGAAUGUGGGUAAAAUAUCACUGGAAUCAGAGCUUCAAGAAGGAAAGAAAAAUAAAGCGACACAGGUAUGUACUAUUUCAGCUUAGUACAGUUCUAUUUUUUAUAUAUUUCUGAGUUUGACAAUAGGAUUUUUCUUCCCCAGAUAUUCUGCCCGAUUUGGCAUGUUGACCAUUGGUUCCUAAUAGUGAUUGAUAUUCAGCUUAACACCAUAUCCGUGUUUGACUCCUUACCUUGCAAGGAACGCAUUGAGUUUAUCAAAAGAAAGAUUUUAGAACUGACCAAUCCCAUUAAAUCCUACAUGGAUAUUGAUAUCUCGAGUUACAAGCCUCAAAUACCAAAUUGUAGGAGACAAAGAAACGGGUAAUUUUGUUACUGGCCUUGUCUCUUUUUACCUGUCAUUCAAUUUCCUGCUGUCUUUGACAAGAUUUGUGUGUGUCUGUGUGUGUGUGUUUUUUUUUUUGCUGGUACGAUUGCGGUUUCCAUGUUCUGUUGUAUAUUCAAAAUUAUGGAGAAUGUGAAAUCUAUGACUUUGGCAAGGUAAAUGCUUUUUUUUUCUAAAACAUUUCUACUCAUGUAUACACUAAUACCUUUAAAUUGCAGAAUCACUUAUACCUUUAAAUUGCAGGAAACAGUGAGAAAUUUUAGGAUAAAGUUAGCAACCGACCUGAUUAAACACUUGAUCACCAACAAAAGAGCUCCAAGAGUUUACAUUGAUGAUGAUGAGUUGGAUGUCGAGUCAGAUUAUCCUUUCAUGUAUAUGGAGAGUCAUUUUGACAAUAUCUUUUCAAGCAUGGAAAAUGUAGAGGAUGUUUUCCUUCUGAGCAAUGCCCUUGAAAUGUCUCAUGACAACCAGCCCAAGACUGUUGCAGGUGGUGCGAAGGAUAUCUUUUCAAGCACGGAAAAUGAAGAGGAUGUUCUCGUUGUGAGCAAUGCCCUUGAAAUGCCUCAUGACAACCAGCCCAAGACUGUUGCGGGUGGUGAGAAGGAUGGCAGCCAGGGUGAUGCCAGUGUGCAUGACAAAAGCAUGGGUGAGCAGAGACAGGAGCCCCUGAUCAAUACUGUGGGUAGUGUGGAGGAUGACACCAAGAGUGAUGCCAGUGCCAGUGUGCAUACUGAGGAUGCCGUCCUGACCACCAAGAAAAUGACUGCUGCGGCUGAUGCUGAUGGUGACAAGGGAAUGACUGCUGCUGACCAUAGAGUGACUGCUGCUGCUGGGAAUCCCUCGGAUAGUGGCCAUGUAAUGACUGAUGCUGAUGGUGUGGAUGUUCCAAGCACAGGUGACCAGAUUGUGUGUGGUACCGAUUUUGUGAAUGUGAAUAAGAAGACAAAGAAGGCAAAUGAAGGAGAUGAUGAUGAGGAGGUGGAGACGAGUGACGGGCAUGACAGUUGUGAGGGUGAUGUUGACGAUGCUAACCAGCACAGUGCCGACCAUUCCAAGACUGAUGCUGAUGGUGAGCAGAAACAGGCAAGGGCCAAGACUGAAGUGGUUGGUGCAGAGGAUGGCAGCCAGGGUGAUGCUAAGGAUGCCAAGCAGCCCAAUGACGACAAUCCCAUGACUGAUGCUGAGAGUGAGCAGAAACAGGCAAGGGUGACAGAUGAGGAGAAAAACGGCCAGCCCCUGAUCAGUGUUGUGGGUAGUGCGGAGGAUGACACCAAGGGUGAUGCCAGUGUGCAUGGCACACGUACAGGUGACCAGGAUGAGGAGGACUAGGAUGGUACGGAUGAGACAAAGACUGGCGAUGAGACAGGUAGGGAUGAGCAUGAGGGUAGUGAGACAAAGACUGGCGAUGAGACAGAUGAGGACAGUAGUGAGACAGAUCAUGAGAAGGAGAAUCAGAAAUGUGACAAUGUGGAGGAUACAGAUGAUAAGCAGCAUCAGCAAGUUAAAAAAAUGGGCGAAAGCGAAAUCAAAAUCUCCCUGAUCAUUCCGAUGUACUAGCUUCAGGGGCGAAGAGGCACAGAAAGACACCAUGUAAUGUUAACGAAAAAGCAGUGGAGAAUACAGCAAUAGAGAAAUGUGUACCUGGAGACUUGAUGGAAAAGAUCUUCAGAAUAGCCUUGGAGUAAGUUUGAGUUUUAGAACUUAUAGUGACUUACAUGAUAUUUUCUGGGGACUGACAUCAUGUUCCCAAUUUGAAGAAGUGGGAAACAGGUAAUACUUGCUUUGGAUGAGAAAUCAACAGAUUCAACACUGACAGGUGGUAAAAUGGAAGAGUAAUUAAAGCAGGGAGGUGAAAAGGCCACUCUCAUUCUCAAGGCAUUCAUAAAAUGCUUCAAGCAAGAUUGUAAGACAAGUAUUAUACCCAAAUUCUUUCUCCCGCCAGUGAUUGAUGUAAGUAUUCUGUAGAAAAUAUUGUAUCCCUUGCACUUAUCAUUUCGCCCCCUUGCACUUAUCAUUUCGCUCUGAGUGCAGAAAUAUACCGAUGAAGAUAUUUUAUCUGCACUCCCCCAAAAUGUGAUAAACUUGCCCAUUGUUAACGUAAGUUCUGGAGCAUUUAUUACAUGUUUGUUUUAGGGUUUAGGGGCCGUGAUACAAUGUUCAUUUUUGCAGAUACUUGGCGUUGUCUUCUAUACAGAAUGGAUUGGGUUUUGUAUCCAAAUUCAGUCUGGAAACCACCAAAUCUUUGCUAUACAUCACCUUCCGCACCUGACCAACAAGAUUGGAGAAAUGUGCUGUUCUUUUUCAUCACAAAUAGAUAGAGUCUUUGGCAUCGAAACUUCUAAAAAGCCAAAUCUAGUGCCAACGCUUUAUUUCAACAAUUUCCAGUUUGAUGACUAUAUUGCUGUCAUACAUUUUUUCCAAAAAUUCGAACGUGAUUCAAACUAUAUGAAACAAAAGAAAUGGGAAGAGGUUAGUGAAGUUUCCUUCUUAAGGGCAGGGCUGGGGUUUAUCUUUCAACUAUGGAGGUGAGGAUUUAGCAGCCAUAACUUGACAGCUUCUUCUGCUUUCAACGUUCUUUGCAGAAAAGGUUGAAGACAUGGUUUGAACAAUACAAGAAAGAAGUUGUGACAUACCUUUUAGUUCACAAGGAAAACAAAGCAACCUUGACCGGUGCAUUGAAAAACUGCAUUGAAGCACAAGGAAAAAUGAAAUGCCGGAAGAAGUUGCCUGACUUGCAAGUGUCUUAGUCAAAUGAGAAGCCUAGAAAGGUGGCAAGAAAAAAAGGCUAAGAGAAGGCAAGGCUAGAAGAGAUGCUUUGAGGAUGUAAUAUGGCAGGACUAGGAGAUGCUUCUCUCCUAGGUCUUUUUAAACACUUUGCUUUUGAAAUACUUAUGGAACAGUGGUGCUUAAAGUUGUAAUGUGAACUUUAUAUGUAGUAUCAUAGGAGGUUCUUCUCGUUGGCAUAGUUGUAGUAUCCAAUUUGAACUGAGUCUCUGUCUAUUUUUAACAGUAGUAUCGCACUUUGUACACAUCUGUCACUCACAUAAAUGUUGCUGUUUUUCAAGUAUGUAGCUGUUCUUCGAGUCAAUAGUGUCGCACUACCUUGGCUAGCUUUUGCUGGCCAAGGUGUCUGUCUCUGUGCAGGGAGCUGAGAUCAAGAGGUUGAAUUGUAAGCUGCAGAAGGAGAUAACAGCUUAGCAGGAGAUAAGCUUGAUCCCAGCUUUUUCUGAGAGAGGGAAACAGAGGCCCACUAGCUCAACCUAGCCAUGGGAGCAUUAGCAGGCAGACCUGAGAGAGGGAAAGAGAGGGCUGGUGGCGCACCUGAUGACGGCGGGCAGCUCCACCACAGUGGCUUCUUCCCCUACCAUCGAGUGCCUCCAUCUGCUCUUGGUGUGGCUAUUUCCUUUUGUGCUCUGCCCGUUUGGUACUGGUGUCACUGUAAAACUGUUUUGCUUCUAGCCUGCUGCCUAGUCCUUUGUAAUUGCUCUUUAUUUACAUGGCCGGCCUAGUGGGUACGUUGCUAUCAGGUUAGAAUAAUAUGUUGUGCUUUGUGCCUUUGUAAUUCCAACACUUUAACAAUUUUUUUUUGACAAGGUAAACUUAUAUUAAUUAACGGCAAGCCGCCGCAAAGUUGGUACAAUGUGCAAUCGAUACAUUAGCCACUCGCUCAGCAUAUAGACAUGAAUCUAGAUGAGCCUGAUUGAGUCAUCUAAAGUUUGCAGAUGUGGAGCACUCCGAGUUAUAGCCGUAAGCAAGGGAGGCCAAGAAGUGACUUUGUAGAUUUUGCUCUCUAGGCACAAACUGAACAUAUACUUUGAGUUCAGCAAUUUUCCUUUGAAUGUGAUAAAGCGAGCUUGCACAUCUCCAUUCAGGAGGACUGUCACUGUUAGGCUCUCUGAGAUAGUCAGCAAGAAGCUUGGAGUCAGUGAAGAACAUUGAACAGGAUUAGAUAGAUUUCUUGCAAACUCUGAAUGGUGCUUGGAAUUCCCCCAAACUUGGUAAGUAACUUUUAUAACACUGCCUGUAUUCCUCCUGAAAUAAACAGAACUCACAUCACUCUUAUUCCUAAAGUUAAUGCCCCCCAAACUAUUAAAGAUUACAGGCCCAUUAGUCUUUGCAAUGUUAUCUAUAAGGUCAUUGCCAAAUCACUUGCUGACAGAAUUAAAGCCCAUCUACCUCAUAUCAUUCAUCCCUCGCAGACAGCUUUCAUCCAAGGGAGGCACAUUGCCACCAGCAUUAUUAUUGCCCAGGAAAUCAUCCACAGUUUCAAUCUUAAAUCCUGGAAGCACAAAGCUUUUUUGCUCAAAGUAGAUCUUGCUAAAGCUUUUGACCGUAUUGAACGGCAUUUCAUCAUUUCGGCUCUCAAAAGACAAGGUUUUUCUGAUAAAUUUGUGACUCUAGUUUACAGUUGCAUAUCCUCAACUUCCAUGGCUGUUAAUAUUAAUGGCUCUCUAACUGACUACUUCAUCCCUCAAAGAGGUAUAAGGCAAGGCUGUCCUCUGUCUCCAUACCUCUUCAUUCUUGCCGUUAAUGAACUUGCUAUCAAGCUACAACAUAUGUCUUCUGAUCAUGAUAUUCAGGGUAUUACUCUGGGCCCUGGUUGCCCCAAGAUUCAUUGCCUCAUGUUUGCCGACGAUCUUAUCAUCUGUGGGCAGGCCACUCAUGCCGAAGCUGAGAAAAUUAAAAAAGUUCUUCACAACUUUUGCAUAGCUUCUGGCCAAACACCUAAUCUGAGAAAAUCCUCUAUCCUUUUGAGCAAGAAUGUCGAUUCUUUUGCUCAGCAACAGGUAAGAUCUGUGUUCCCUGUGUAGGAUCUUAGUCCAAAUGCUAUCUAUUUAGGUCAUCCUCUGAUUUUUAACCACAAGGACAGAACCUGUGCCUACAAUUUUGUUAUAAACAAAUUUAAAAUGAAACUCACCAAGCUCAAAGCGAAUAAAUUAAACCAUGCCGGCAGACUCACAUAUAUAAAUUCUGUCCUUGCCUCUAUUCCUAUCUAUUACAUGGCCACCAUUCUCUUCUCCAAAGGUUUCAUUGCCAAAAUCACUUCUAUCACUAGGAAAUUCUGGUGGUCUGGUGUGCAGGAUGAAAAUAGCGAGUCAGGUUUCAGUUUCAGAUCUUGGAAGGAUAUUUGCAGACCGAAGGAAGAAGGAGGCCUCGGGAUCAGAGACCUCAGGCUAGUCAACAAAAGCCUCAUUCUUAAUGCUGCAUGGAAGGUUGCAUUAGGUAAAAGCUCUUAUCUUUCUGCCAUCCUAAAGUCCAAAUAUUAUCCCAACACUAGCUUCUGGAAAGCCACCAGUCACCCUGUCACUUCGGCAUUUUGGUCAUCUGCGAUGGCAGUCAAAGCCACCCUAAUUCAAAACUUCAAGGUCCAAAUCUCCAACGGUUCUUCGUGCAUCUGGUCCACCCCUUGGUGCUCUGACUGGAUUAAUAUACAUGACCACUUAAAACUCCCCGUCACUGUUAGACCUCUCCCCAGCAAAAUCUCGGAUCUUUGGAACCAGGAUCUUAUUCAUGCUAUUUUCGAUGAUAAUUUUGCUUCAACUAUUUCCUGUCUAAAGCCGAUAAGCAACAAUCAUAAUGACAGGAUUGUUUGGAUGCCUUCAAAAAAAGGGGAAUGCUCUACUAAAGAUGCUUUUAAGUUCCUCAACAACCAUGUGCAGGUACACCUUCCCGCCCAGGGACCUAGGAGCAUCUCUGCUCAGUCCCUCAUGCUACUCAGGAGAACCUGGAAUCUCAAAUACCUCCCUCCGGUCAUUAAAACCUUUUUGUGGAGACUCAUCCGGUGUGCUCUUGCCAUUGGCAAUAGGGCUGGCAGCCUAGCUCCUAAAAUCAGCACGAACUGCACCUUUUGCGGUGCACUCGAAACUGAUGCUCACAUUUUCUUCACUUGUGACUUUGCAAGGGCGGUCUGGUUUUCCUCAAAAUCACCGCUGCGCUCUACUGAUUUGCCAGUUGAGCAUGAUGGUGUCCAAAGGAGUCUGGCUGCCAUGAUCCCAUCCACCAUCAGCGAUGUGCGCUUAGCUGAUCUACUAUCUACAUUAUGGUAUAUUUGGAAAGCUCGAAAUGAGCUUCGCUUUGGGGGAAAACGGUGGUCUGUUUUGCAGGUUCAUCAUGCCGCUAAAACUCUCAUGGCGACAUUCAGAAUGGAGAUCAAAGCAGAAGGAGAGCCUGCCUUUUCUAAGGCGACUCACUCCACCAUGACAGUGUGCAAUUUGCUGUCUCCCUUGCCUCAGAAUGCAGGGAAAUGCAUAAAGUCCAAAAUGAACAAGGAGGACGCUUCGCUAUUACAUCUUUUAAUGCAGGUAAAUAUACGGAUGGAGAAGAUUUCUCAGGACCCAGCUGAAGGCUUCUCCUGUUACACCGAUGCAGCCAUCUUGCCAGAUGAUAUCAACCUCACUCCCAGGAAAGUGGGAAUCGGCAUUCACUUUGAAAGCUGCUCUGCUAAGGAAACAUUGUUUGUGGCAGCUAAACUCAGUUCCUGUUACUCUGUACUAGAGGCAGAAGCUUUGGCGCUCCUCACUGCACUACAAAACACUUUAACAAUUGGCUGCACACUACUUUGUGCUUGGACCUGUCUCUCUUAGUACGUGCCAGUUUGUAAAACAAAGAGUUGUGUGGCACUUGAUACCAAUAUAUCGCCUUUAACGGAUAUGUAGCUGUUCUUGUCUAUGUCUCUUAUAACAGUACCUGUCGCUUUUACAUGCCACUUUAUACCUUUUACAUGCCAGUUUGUUUUACAAACAGUUUAUAGAGUAGUGACAUAGACAAGAAGACUACUCCACACUCGUCGUCCGCCGCGGCGGCCCCCCGCUGCGCGAGGUCGUGGCAGCCUCCGACGUACGGCCGAGACCACCGCCGCCGCAGGGGCGCGCAGCUCUUCGAUCUCGUCGAGGCGUACCACAGCGAGCGCGUGGCAGCAGCCCGCGCGCGUCCCUCCAGCCAAGAUUAAGGCAAGGGGUCGCUGGUGCCGCCCAGAGCAAUGCGCAAGAAGGCUGAUUCUGGAAGGGAACAUCACAACAAAAACAUCACAACCAAUCUUCCUGGCAGCAGCAUGUUGCUAAAACAAAACGGACCAGCACUGUGCAAGCCAAAACGGACUAUCGGUGUUGCCUUUAGAAAUAUGUUGACUACGUUGAUUGUAACUCUGUGUUGACCUUAAUACACAUGUGUUGCUCUGUAUGAAAAUGAUAGGUUACCGAUAUGAAACGGCACGAGGGUGGCCUGAUCUUCACGACAGUAGAUCAAAAGAACAAAGAUAACUUGCUGCGAACAGCGGGUAACUAGCUUUAUACCUGACAAAGGUUGGAUGCGACCAAGCGACGGGGAGAGAGGCACCGAAACCACGAAGACUUUGACUCGAUCUCCAAACGACCGCAGAACCACAAUCCGGAACUAAUCCACACAAUACGGCGCAGUCGAACGGAAGCCAUAGAGCGCGAAGUAGGGGAACCCAGAGGAUUCACUUCACAAGUCCAAGAAGAACAAGGAAGAACAAAGGUUGAGUAAGGCACUCAGCAGCGCGGCUGCAAUAUCAUGUAGUUUAUCAAAUGAUCAAAGGUUGCUAAUAGCUUAGAGGUAGGGGAUAUUUAUACUAGGAACAACCCUCCUAGAUAGGUAUGAAAACGAAAUAGAGUUUCUGGGUGAAGGCAAUGUGAAAAGACCCCUCGGAAUGGAUUCCCGAACUGGCUUCGCGUGACUGUUGGCCUCUAGAGCAGUUUCCUAUAAACUGACCAUAACUUUUUAUUGGGAAGUCCAAAUGACGAACCGUUUCUUGGGUGUGAAAUGAGACUCGAAGAGCUUUCCAGCAAUGUAUGCCAUGUACCUCAAAACGUUGUAGAUUGGUACAGUUUUGCGCGGCAAGUUGCACCAACAUUCUGUCACGAUAGACUGUUGACCUUCUGAGCAGUCUAUACUAAUUCUGAUCUGCAAGCAAUAUGGAGUAUCAAAACUGGUCGCCACUAGAUUCAUUGGAAAUUAGACUCGACAAGCUUUCCAACAAGUCCUCAUCGGCCUUCAUAGCUUUUGUGAUUAAAAAGUUAUGAAGAUUUCUUUGCACAGGUCUGUUUUUGACAUCCACUGGUCCGUUUAUGACUUCCACUAGUCCGUUUUUGACGUGUCUUCUAGGACUUGCACUGGUUCGUUCUUCAGGGUCCGAUUCAUCCUUCUCUUCUUCUAUAUACCUGAGUACAAUCAAGGUAGAACACUUAGGUAGUAUAUAAUUCUCAUUAAUGUUAAAAUGAAUCUCACAAAGUAGCGCGUGGACCUCUUGUUGUAGCUUCUUUGCACGACUACGUGUAACCGGUCCAUCGAUGACUUGGGCUGGUGUCGGUGUAGGUAAAACUUGAGUGGUUGUAGCUUGACUUGGAGCUUGUGACAUCUUGCUUGCUGGCAUGGUCAUAUCAUCCUCCCCCCCUUCAAAAAGAGUCAUCCUCGACUCUUCCAAUCCAAAGAAUGGAGAAAGGUCGGAGACAUUGAAACUUGUACUCACACCAUAAGUACUUGGAAGAUCAAUUUCAUAAGCAUUGUCAUUGAUCUUGCGAAGCACUUUGAAUGGAUCAUCGGCUCGGGGUUGCAGCUUGCUCUUGCGUUGUUCAGGAAACCGAUCCUUGCGCAGGUGCACCCAAACCAAGUCUCCCGGUUCAAAUAACAUCUUCUUACGACCCUUGUUGGCGUGCUUCUCAUAUAACUUGGUCAUCUUCUCAAUGUUUGCUUUAGCUUGAUCAUGAAGCUUCUUGACAAAUUCUGCUCGCUUGCUUGCAUCAAAGUUCACACGUUCCUGCAUAGGCAAAGGCAAAAGAUCGAUGGGAGCAGUAGGUUUGAACCCAUAGACAAUCUCAAAUGGACAAAAUUUUGUGGUCGAAUGUACUGCCCUGUUGUAUGCAAACUCCACAUGAGGCAAGCUUUCUUCCCACAAUUUCAGAUUCUUCUUUACGACAGCUCGCAGCAAUGUUGAUAAUGUGCGGUUCACAACUUCAGUUUGUCCAUCCGUUUGAGGAUGACACGUUGUGGAGAACAGCUGCCUUGUCCCCAGUUUUCCCCACAAGGUUUUCCAAAAGUAACUCAAAAACUUGGUGUCACGAUCAGACACGAUGGUACGUGGCACUCCAUGUAGACGCACAAUUUCUCUGAAAAACAAUUCAGCAAUGUGUGAAGCAUCAUCGCUCUUAUGACAGGGAAUAAAGUGUGCCAUUUUGCUAAAUCUAUCAACCACAACAAAUAUGGAAUCCUUUCCCCUCUUGGUUCGUGGUAAACCAAGGACAAAGUCCAUAGAAAUGUCCUCCCAAGGGACACUAGGGAUAGGUAGAGGAGUGUAUAAACCAUGAGGAUUCAAACGGGACUUAGCUUUAUGGCAGGUUUCACAGCGAAGAACAUGCCUCUCCACAUCUCUUCUCAUCUUAGGCCAAAAGAAAUGGUCAGUCAGCACUUGUUCUGUUUUCUUUGCACCAAAAUGGCCCAUAAGUCCUCCUGCAUGAGCUUCCUGCACUAGCAAAAUGCGAACAGAGCAAUCUGGAAUGCAAAGUUUAUUAGCUAGAAAUAAGAAACCCUCAUGCAAAUGGAAUUUUUCCCAUCCCAUGCUGCCACAACACUUGGAAUAUGGUUCAGCAAAAUAUGAAUCCUUAACAUAUAGUUCUUUUAUACUUUCUAAUCCAAGAAUUUUAGUAUCAAGUCGUGAAAGCAAAGUAUGACGUCGAGUCAAAGCAUCAGCUACAAUGUUAUUUUUCCCUUUCUUGUACUUGACAACAUAAGGAAAGGACUCAACGAACUCACUCCAUUUUGCAUGUCUUCGGUUCAGUUUUAGUUGGCCUUUAAGAUGUUUCAAAGAUUCAUGGUCUGAAUGUAUCACAAAUUCUUUAGGCAAAAGGUAGUUAUGCCAAGUUUUCAAGCUUCUAACAAGAGCAUAUAAUUCUUUAUCAUAAACUGAGUAAUUCAGAGUUGGACCACUUAGCUUUUCACUGAAGUAUGCAAUCGGCCUCCUUUCUUGCAUGAGAACGCCACCAAUUCCUAUACCACUUGCAUCACAUUCAAAUUCAAAUGUCUUACCGAAAUCUGGAAGUGCAAGAAGUGGGGCUGUUGUCAACUUCAUCUUCAGUUCUUCAAAUGCCUUCUCUUGUGCUUCUCCCCAAUUAAAAGGCACUCCUUUCUUUGUCAACUCAUUGAUUGGAGCAGCAAUGGUGCUGAAAUCUUUCACAAAUCGCCGGUAGAAACCAGCAAGUCCAAGGAAGCUACGCACUUGACUUGCAUUCUGUGGAGGCAUCCACUCACGAACAACUUUGAUCUUAUCCUCAUCCACCUCCACACCAUGUCCUGGAACAACAAAACCAAGAAAGACUACCUUGUCGGUGCAAAAUGUGCACUUGUGAAGGUUAGCAUACAAUUUUUGCUCACGUAGGACAGCAGGCACACUUUGGAUAUGCUCAACAUGUUCAUCAAGAGACUUGCUGUAAAUUAAUAUAUCAUCAAAGUAAACCACAACAAACUUGCCAAUGAAAGAUCUAAGCACAUGAUUCAUCAAUCUCAUAAAGGUACUUGGUGCAUUAGUCAAUCCAAAGGGCAUUACCAACCAUUCAUACAACCCAAACUUGGUUUUAAAAGCUGUCUUCCACUCAUCUCCUUCUCUCAUUCUUAUUUUGUGAUAGCCACUUCUCAAGUCAAUUUUAGUGAAAAUUGUUGCACCACUAAGUUCAUCAAGCAUAUCAUCAAGUCUAGGAAUGGGAUGCCUAUAUCUUACUGUGAUGUUAUUAAUAGCUCUACAGUCAACACACAUUCUCCAUGAACCAUCUUUUUUGGAACUAAAAGAAUAGGACCUGCACAAGGUGAAAGACUUUCCUGCACAUACCCUUUUCUCAUCAAUUCUUCCACUUGUUGCUGAAUUUCUCUUGUUUCCUCCGGAUUGGUGCGGUAUGCAGCUCGGUUUGGAAGUGAAGCACCGGGAACAAGGUCAAUUUGAUGUUCAAUUCCUCUCUUGGGUGGCAGACCUGGUGGUACCUCCUCUGGAAAGACAUCCUCAUAUUCCUGUAACACAUUAAAAAUAACACUUGGCAAAGUAGAGGAUAAGUCGUUAGGGGAAAGAAAAUUUUCCUUGUACAGGAGUACAACGAAUGUGGCAUUGGGUUCACUCAAUUCUUUUAAAUCCCCUUUCCUAGCCAUCAUAACUAAUCCCUCUUUUCCCUUUGUCUUGGUCAUUUGUGGUUGUGGGGUUUUAAUUGGCUUUGGAAACACUCCCUCACUAUUUUUGUGGGUCACUCGCAAGUGGUUCUCGCUCUCUCGCUGUUUUCUUUUUAGAUCAUCAUUCAAAAUCUCCUCCGGUGUCAAAGUGAGCAAAGAAAUUCGCUCUCCUUUGUACAUGAAAACCAGCUUGUUGGUUCUUCCAAAGAUCUGAACAUCACGAUCAUAUAACCAUGGUCUACCUAGCAGCAGCUGGCAUGCUUGCAUAGGCACCACAUGACACUCCACAUGAUCAUUAUACCUCCCAAUAGAGAAAGGAACUGUCACAACAUGGCUCACACGCAGCGCACCACAAUCGUUCAGCCACUGCAUCUUGUAUGGAUUAGGAUGACGUCUUUGUUUUAGCUCCAUUCUAUCAACCAAUUCUUGGCUAGCAAUAUUGUUGCAGCUGCCAUUGUCAACAAUAAUUCUACACAACUUCUCUUUGAUCAUGCCUUGAGUGUGGAAAAGAUUGUGUCGCUGCCCAUUCUCUUCCUUUGCAGCAGUAACACUAAGCACACGAAGAGAAAUAAAACAGUUGUUAUCAACUUCAUCGGGUUGGAUCUCAUUAUCAUGGUUCUCAUGAUCCUCAUCAUAUCUUGGACCUUCUUCCUCUCGAUCACUUUCAGAUUCCCAUUCACCAUUCUCAUUCACAAUCAUGGUCCUCCUACUAGGACAUUGUGCAGCAAUAUGUCCACGACCAAGGCACUUGUGGCACACAAUUUCUCUACUACGUGCAGAGGAAGUAGUAGCUGAGGAAACAACAGUUGGGGCUGCUACACUUGUAGUAGGUCGCUGCUGAUAUGCAGGGGAUGAUGCUGUAGAAACCACCAUCUUUGAAGGAGCAUUAGAUGAAGAGGGCCUAGCUGCAGCACCUUGGGACCGUCCCCCACCAAAAGAAGUGCUGGACUGCUGCUUGCGCCAUGGGGCUGCAAUAGAAUGACUUGUAUAAGAUUUUCCACGUGUCUCUUGCUGAAUUUUUCUUUCAGUACGCAUAGCUUGAUCAACAAGGUCUUGCAAAGUAAGGUAUGGAAACAUCUCAACAAAACCAGCAAUUUCCUCAUUGAGACCACCCAAAAAUCUUGCCAUUUUUGACUCUGGAUCCUCUCUAAUUCCAGUCCGCACUAACAGCAGCUCCAUCUCCUUAUAGUACUCAUCAACCGAUCUUUUUUCCUUGCUUCAACAUUUGUAACCUAUUGCGAAGGUCACGCUGAUAGCUUGAUGGUACAAAUCGCCUUCUCAUCACUUGUUUCAUCUCUUCCCAUGUGUUGAUAUGUUCACGGCCCAACCCAAGUUGAUUCUCUUGUAUCUGAUUCCACCAAGUCAGAGCAUAACCAGAGAACUCCACUGAAGCAAGAUUGACACACCUCUGAUCAGAGAGAUUAUGCACUCUAAAAAUUUGAUCACACUGCUCAGCCCACUCAAGAUAUGCAUCUGCAUCCUCUCUUCCAGUGAAUUUUGGGAUACUCAAUUUAACACGAGCAAUGCUGUCCGGUUCUUCCCUAUUACGACGUCCAUGAUGAUGCUCUCUAUCUCCAUGAUUAGCAUGCCGCCAAUGAUAAUGGUGCUGCCUAUGCAGCCCAUCAUUUGCAAAGGGAUUCUCAUCAGACCCCUCUUCGUGACCAAAGUUAUCAAAUUCUUCAUCAUCAAAAUGAACUCGAUGGCCACGACCACGUCCAUGAGCUCGUCCUCCAUUUUGGCCAUGAUGACUAGCCCGCCUACCACCACCACGACCAUCUCUAAAACGGUCAUGUCCUCCAUUAGAAUUUUCAGCACCAGAUUCAUCAGAUUGAUGCCGAGGAGCCCUCUGCCCAUCCGCAGGUAUGCGUGCAUCAAGCAUUCUCUCCAUGGCCUGCAAGAGUGAGUCUGCCAUUUGGCGCCACUCAGCCCGUGCAACAGGGGGUUCUUCUCCAUGUCGAUUACCAUGAAUACUUGAGUUGGAUCAUGUCAUGUUAGCACUUAAGGCAAAAUAUAGUGGUAUGGGUAAAUUUGUGGAAUCACACAACCUCACCUCUUACUUACCAAUGCUCUUUCCUGUUCUCAAGGACAGUGAAUUGUGCUAGUGGGCUCGAUAGAAGUGAUUCCGAGGUCACAAGGAUUACGAGUCGAAUGUCCUGGUUUCAGUUUUAGGUGGAGCUAUAGGUGGCUAAACAAGGGAGGCCACGGUACUGAAAAUCAAGUGAUUUGAUGUGCUCACAAGAUGUAAUGUUGCUAGAAUAUAAAUCACCAAGAAUCUGAAUGUGUAAACUGAAUUUUCAGUGAGCAAACCGCAAUACUACCCCUCUCCUCUUCUUUUACAUUUUCUUUCGGAUCUUUCUGUUCUUCUUUUUUUUCUUUCUUUCUCUGAAUUUUGUUUUCUCUAAUUUUUUUGGACUCUUCUUUUUUUUAUGCUAACAGGGGUGCGGAUAACAAAUGAAACACGACACAAUAUAUGUAAAGAGGGUGACUAGCAACUUGAUGAACACAAAAAACACAAGAUAACAGUAGCGUUCAAAGGGCUCUAGGAUUUGUUUUGUGGCUUUUUCAGUGGACUAUAGGUGAUGAACAAAACAGUAGCAAACGUAAGAUAAACUAAAGGUAUAUAUGUGGAUGAUUGUGAGACCUACCGUGACAACGAAAGCUUUGAUACCAGAAGAAAGUGCGUGUUAAUUCUAUAUUAUAUGGAAAAUAUACAUGAGAUUUUGAAAUGCAGAUCAAUACAAUAUAUAUAUAUAUAUAUAAAUAUAUAUAAAUAUAUAUAUAUACCUUUUUUGGGUUUUUCGGCUCCUUUGGUGCCUUGUUUGGUGCCUGAAUCAUUGUGUGCAAAACAAAUAAAUUAGUGACACUAAUCUGCAACAUAGUAUGAAAGAAUAGAGGACAUCAAUAUCAGACAAAGAAAGUGCGUGUUAAUUAAUUAUAUAUAUAUAUACCUUUUUUGGUGCCUAAAUCAUUUUGCGUGUU
Molecule: long non-coding RNA, 24882 nt
Filed under: Sorghum bicolor (sorghum)
Lineage: Eukaryota; Viridiplantae; Streptophyta; Magnoliopsida; Poales; Poaceae
Description: long non-coding RNA (SBIC_LNC003416)
Source: RNAcentral